This 254-nucleotide ribosomal RNA is filed under the name uncultured bacterium. Its description in RNAcentral is "partial small subunit ribosomal RNA". It matches the Rfam family "Bacterial small subunit ribosomal RNA", at positions 26 to 285 of the family's 1533-position model. The record is from RNAcentral.
AGGACGAACGCUGGCGACGUGCUUAACACAUGCAAGUCGAGCGGAAAGGCCCUUCGGGGUACUCGAGCGGCGAACGGGUGAGUAACACGUGAGCAACCUGCCCUUAGCUCCGGGAUAGCUCCGGGAAACCGGAAUUAAUACCGGAUACGACCACGGCCGACAUCUGCUGUGGUGGAAAGGAUUCCGGCUAAGGAUGGGCUCGCGGCCUAUCAGCUAGUUGGUGGAGUAACGGCCCACCAAGGCGACGACGGGUA